Hippocampus comes (tiger tail seahorse) is the source of this 73-nucleotide non-coding RNA. The record is from the annotation of a RefSeq genome assembly. NCBI's taxonomy places the organism in Eukaryota, Metazoa, Chordata, Actinopteri, Syngnathiformes, Syngnathidae.
GCCGAAAUAGCUCAGUUGGGCGCGCGUUGGACUGAAGAUCUAAAGGUUCCUGGUUCAAACCCGGGUUUUGGCA